This 4893-nucleotide ribosomal RNA is filed under the name Clostridioides difficile. RNAcentral's name for it is "23S ribosomal RNA". The stretch from base 2611 to 4893 matches the Rfam family "Bacterial large subunit ribosomal RNA". Lineage: Bacteria; Bacillati; Bacillota; Clostridia; Peptostreptococcales; Peptostreptococcaceae. The record is from RNAcentral.
UUAUGUUACUUGAUGUAUUAACUGGAUUUGAUAAGAUAAAAGUUUGUACGUCUUAUAAAAUGGGCGAUAAGAUAAUAACGGAUUUCCCAGCUUCAUUAGAUGAUUUAGCAAAAUGUGAACCUGUAUAUGAAGAAUUAGAUGGAUGGAAUGAAGAUAUAACUCAAAUAGAUAACUUUGAUGACCUUCCAGAAAAUGCAAAGAAAUAUGUAGCAAAAAUAGAAGAACUAGUUGGAGUAAGUGUAGAUAUGGUUUCUGUUGGUCCAAAUAGAGCUCAAACUAUAAUAAGAAGAAAUAUAUUUGCUUAAUAUUUUAUCAAUUAAAUAAUUUAAAAUAGUUGAAGAAGAGUAUCUCAAGAUAAUGUUUAUAGUUAUUAGAGAUGCUCUUUUAUAUUUGACUUACAUUGAUUUUUUAUUAAGUUAAAGCUACUUAUACAUAUUCUAGCUGAAAUUAAAGUUGAAUUUAUGUAGAUACAUAUAGGUUUUUUAAAAAGAAUUUUGUUGAAAAUAAAUGGCUAAAGAUGAUUUUAAUUAUAUUCUAAAAAAAGUAAAAAAAACUAUUGACUAAAAAUUGUAUAGACGCUAUAAUAUAACUUGUGAGUGAAAGAAACGACGAAAAAAGUCGAAAAAAUGUGGUCUAUUAGCUCAGUCGGUAGAGCACCUGACUUUUAAUCAGGGUGUCCCGCGUUCGAGUCGCGGAUAGAUCACCAAAAUAUGGCUCGUUGGUCAAGAGGUUAAGACACCGCCCUUUCACGGCGGUAACAGGGGUUCAAUUCCCCUACGAGUCACCAGUAUGGGACUAUAGCUCAGCUGGGAGAGCACCUGCCUUACAAGCAGGGGGUCACAGGUUCGAGCCCUGUUAGUCCCACCAAAUUUUGAAUUAGAGAUAAAUACUAGAUUAUAUGCUGGUGUGGCUCAACGGUAGAGCAGCUGACUUGUAAUCAGCAGGUUGUAGGUUCGAUUCCUAUCACCAGCUCCACAAAGUACAUAAAUUCAAAUUAAUAUAAUUUUCUAUGUUACAGGAUACUUUUAAGUAUCUUUUUUUAAUUUCAUUUUUAUUGUAUUAAAAAUGAAAUUAAACAUACAACAAAAUUUUGAAUUACUUGCAAUGUGAUAGUUUUAAAUAUAAAAUUUAGAAUCAUUCUAGCAUAGUAUUAUGUAAUAUAGCAAAUUUAAUUUAUAGUAUCAAUAAAUAUAGACUACUAAGAAUGUAAAUGAUUUGUUAGAUUAAGAUACAUUAGAUAUGUAAAUAGAAAAAUAAAAAAUAUGUUUUAAUUUAUGUGGCAUAAGUUUUAAACAGAGAAGCAAGUUUGCUCUUACCUCUCUAUUUAAAAAUAAAAAAAUGUUUUUUAAGGGCUAUUUUAUUUAAAUCUUUCCCAUCUCAAAUCAUCUCCAGUAAAUUCUAAAAUCCUAAACUUAUCUAAGAUUCUAGAGAGAGUUCUUUGAGUGUAAGUAUUUCCUAUUUGAGAUGGUGUUAAGUUGGUUGAAAUAAUGAUUUUUUUACCAGCAACAAGUCUUGUAUUUACAAUAUUGAAGAUUUCCCCACUAGUAAAAGAAUUAUUAAGUUCAGUUCCAAGGUCAUCUAUUAUUAAUAAAUCACAAUCAAACAAGUUUUUAUAAUUAUCUUCACUUAUUUGGUUAUUUGUGUCUCUUCUAAAUUUAUAAUCUUCAAGAAUAUCUAAAAUUCUAAAAGAAGUUUGAUAGAUUACAACAUUUCCUUUAUCUAACAAUUCCUUUGCAAUACAAUUGCACAUAUAGGUCUUUCCUAGUCCAGUAGAACCAUAAAACAGUAGAUUUUCACUAUUAUCCUUCUUAAAAUCAUGAACAAAAUUUUCGCAGAUACUUAAAUUAUUUAGCAUAUUUUCUCUAGGAGAUAUUUCCCCAUCAGAGCCUUUCUUAGGAGAAAAUAUAUUCAAGUUAAAAUUCGAAAAAUUUUCCUGACUUAAAAUCCUAUCUAAAUUAGACAUUUUAUAAGCUUCAUUUACAAUUUCUUGUUUGAGGCAAGAACAUUUUUCUCCAUUAGGUAAAAAUCCUUUAUCUUUACAAGAAAUACAUUGAAACUUUAUUUCCAAGUAAUCAAGAGGUAUGUUACUUUCAGAUAAAAGUUUUUCUUUCUUUACUUUUAAAGACUCUAUAUUCUCUUUAGUCUUCUUUACAAUUUCAUCUUUAGAUUUGGGAUUUAAAAGUACUAUCUUAGCUAAACUGAGACCUAUUUUAGAAAUUUCAUCAUCUAUAGAUUUUAUCUCAGGGAUUCUAUUAUAUACCUCAUUUUUUCUAUGUUCUAAUAAGAGUUCAUUAUCAUCUCUUCUCUUAGCAUAUUUAGCAAGUAUUUUUCUUAUUUUAUCCUCAUUCAUUUAAUCACCUACUUAAACUUUUCUUUUUGACUUUUUUUAAUAAUCUCAUCGAGCUCAUCAGAGGUAUACUGAGUGAAUGUUUCGUUGAAAUUAUGAAACUUAGUUUUUUUGUAAGUAUUGUUGUUUUGAGUAGUAUUAAUCUGCUUCUUAUUAAUAUUCUCCUUAACUAUACGUUCUUCCUCUUUUUGCUUUAAAUCAUUUAAAUUUUUUAUAUUUUUUUCAUUCCAAUUUUUAAUUAUACCAUUUAUAUAAGAUAUACUUGGGUUUGAAAUAUUCUUAGACUUAGAACAUGCAUUUAUUAUCAAAUCUAUAUCCAUAUUAAAUUUAUCAAACCAGGUGUCCAUAAGUUCUUUUUCUGAUUUUGAUGGUUGUCUUGAAAAUCCCAAUUCAUUGAAAAUCGUUUUAUAUAAAANCCGAACCCACGAGCGUUGAAAAGCUCGGGGAUGACUUGUGGGUAGCGGUGAAAUUCCAAUCGAGCCCGGAGAUAGCUGGUUCUCCCCGAAAUAGCUUUAGGGCUAGCCUCAAGGUGAGAGAUACGGAGGUAGAGCACUGAAUGUCCUAGGGGGUAUUGCACCUACCGAAGACUAUCAAACUCCGAAUGCCGUCAUCUUAUACUUGGGAGUCAGACUGUGGGUGAUAAGAUUCAUAGUCGAAAGGGCAACAGCCCAGAUCGUCAGCUAAGGUCCCUAAAUGUAAGUUAAGUGGUAAAGGAUGUGGGAUUGCACAGACAACCAGGAUGUUGGCUUAGAAGCAGCCACUCAUUCAAAGAGUGCGUAAUAGCUCACUGGUCGAGUGAUCCUGCGCCGAAGAUUUCCGGGGCUAAAACUUACUACCGAAGCUACGGCAUCAGUAAUGAUGGGUAGGGGAGCUUCCCAUACGGGUUGAAGCAUGACCGUAAGGACAUGUGGACAGUAUGGGAGUGAGAAUGUUGGCAUGAGUAGCGAGAUGUGGGUGAGAAUCCCACAGGCCGUAAACCCAAGGUUUCCAGGGGAAGGUUCGUCCGCCCUGGGUUAGUCGGGACCUAAGCUGAGGCCGAAAGGCGUAGGUGAUGGACAACAGGUUGAUAUUCCUGUACUACCGAUAACCGUUUGAGAGAAGGGAUGACACAGUAGGAUAAGCUAAGCACACUGUUGGUUAUGUGUGCCCAAGCAUUGAGGCAGUCAAAGUAGGCAAAUCCGCUUUGAUAAUGCUGGGAUGUGAUGGGGAGCGAAAUUUAGUAGCGAAGUAGCUGAUUUCACACUGUCAAGAAAAGUCUCUAUCGAGGUUAAAGGUACCCGUACCGCAAACCGACACAGGUGGGUGAGGAGAGUAUCCUAAGGCCAGCGAGAGAACUGUUGUUAAGGAACUCGGCAAAAUGACCCCGUAACUUAGGGAUAAGGGGUGCCACCAUCAGGUGGCCGCAGAGAAUAGGCCCAAGCGACUGUUUACCAAAAACAUAGGUUUCUGCUAAGUCGCAAGACGAUGUAUAGGAGCUGACGCCUGCCCGGUGCUGGAAGGUUAAGGGGAUCUGUUAGAGCAAUCGAAGCAGUGAACUUAAGCCCCAGUAAACGGCGGCCGUAACUAUAACGGUCCUAAGGUAGCGAAAUUCCUUGUCGGGUAAGUUCCGACCCGCACGAAAGGCGUAACGAUUUGGGCACUGUCUCAACAACAGACUCGGUGAAAUUGUAAUUCCGGUGAAGAUGCCGGAUACCUGCGACAGGACGGAAAGACCCCAUGGAGCUUUACUGUAGCUUGACAUUGGGUCUUGGUACUACAUGUACAGGAUAGGUGGGAGGCUUUGAAACCAGGACGCCAGUUUUGGCGGAGCCAUCCUUGGGAUACCACCCUUGUAGUACUGGGACUCUAACCAUAGGCCAUGAAUCUGGUCUUGGGACACUGUCAGGUGGGCAGUUUGACUGGGGCGGUCGCCUCCCAAAAGGUAACGGAGGCGCUCAAAGGUUCUCUCAGUACGGUCGGAAAUCGUACGUAGAGUGUAAAGGCAAAAGAGAGCUUGAUUGCAAGACAUACAGGUCGAGCAAGGAUGAAAAUCGGACUUAGUGAUCCGGUGGUUCUGCGUGGAAGGGCCAUCGCUCAACGGAUAAAAGCUACCCUGGGGAUAACAGGCUUAUCUCCCCCAAGAGUCCACAUCGACGGGGAGGUUUGGCACCUCGAUGUCGGCUCAUCACAUCCUGGGGCUGUAGUAGGUCCCAAGGGUUGGGCUGUUCGCCCAUUAAAGUGGUACGCGAGCUGGGUUCAGAACGUCGUGAGACAGUUCGGUCCCUAUCCGUCGCAGGCGUAGGAAAUUUGAGAAGACCUGUCCUUAGUACGAGAGGACCGGGAUGGACGUACCUCUGGUGUACCAGUUGUCCUGCCAAGGGCAUGGCUGGGUAGCUAUGUACGGAAUGGAUAAGCGCUGAAAGCAUCUAAGCGCGAAGCCAACUUCAAGAUAAGAUUUCCCACCGCAAGGGUAAGACCCCAGAAAGACUAUCUGGUUGAUAGGUCGAAGGUGUAAGUGCAGUAAUGUAUUUAGCUUAUCGAUACUAAUAGGUCGAGGACUUGACCAA